Molecule: ribosomal RNA, 165 nt
Filed under: uncultured bacterium
Lineage: Bacteria
Description: partial 16S rRNA
Rfam family: Bacterial small subunit ribosomal RNA
Source: RNAcentral
UAGGGAAUCUUCGGCAAUGGACGAAAGUCUGACCGAGCAACGCCGCGUGAGUGAAGAAGGUUUUUGGAUCGUAAAACUCUGUUGGUAGAGAAGAACGUUGGUGAGAGUGGAAAGCUCAUCAAGUGACGGUAACUACCCAGAAAGGGACGGCUAACUACGUGCCAG